Molecule: transfer RNA, 83 nt
Rfam family: tRNA
About the family: Transfer RNA (tRNA) molecules are approximately 80 nucleotides in length. Their secondary structure includes four short double-helical elements and three loops (D, anti-codon, and T loops).
Source: Rfam
GCUUCUAUGGCCAAGCGGUAAGGCGUCGCACUUGUAAGUUCUCAGGUAUGCGAAGAUCCAUGGUUCGAAUCCGUGUGGAAGCA